RNAcentral lists this transfer RNA (75 nucleotides) under Bacillus thuringiensis Bt407. RNAcentral describes it as "tRNA-Glu". It matches the Rfam family "tRNA". Rfam says of the family: Transfer RNA (tRNA) molecules are approximately 80 nucleotides in length. Their secondary structure includes four short double-helical elements and three loops (D, anti-codon, and T loops). The record is from RNAcentral. Lineage: Bacteria; Bacillati; Bacillota; Bacilli; Caryophanales; Bacillaceae.
CCCGUUGGUCAAGUGGUUAAGACACCGCCCUUUCACGGCGGUAACACGGGUUCGAAUCCCGUACGGGUCACCACU